AAGUUGCACCAUCAAAUUCCCAUCAUUGGAAGAAGUAGUUGUGACACAGUACCCCAAAAUGAAGGCUUUCACUCAAGGAGCCGUAAGCACACCAAAGCUAAAGAGAGAAUUUUUUACAGAAGGAAGAGAUAAAUGGCAUUGGAUUGGAGACCUUAAUACCUCCAUAAAACAUUUGUAUAUAGAAAAGGUAGGUUUUAAUAUAAUCUCUCUAUUUCCUAAUUGUUAAUAGCUCAUUUUCUUCCAGUGAAUAUUUAGGUUCUUGUAUAUUUUUUGCUUAAUACAUUGUUGGGCUUCUUGCGGAUUGGAUUCAGUGGCCUACAGUAUUUGAGACUCUCUGAAUUUCCCCAAUUAAAAGAAGUUUGGCAUGAACAACUUCAGGCCAACUUCUUCUACAAUUUAAGUAGGUUGGUGGUAGACGAGUGUUCAUUUUCCUCUAGUUCUGUUCCAUCCAAUCUAGUACCAUUUUUGAAUAAUUUGGAAGAGCUUGAAGUGAGAAAUUGUGAUUCGGUGAAAGAAGUAUUUAGUAAGGGAUGGUCAAAUGGUAAUGGAAUCAUUGGACAUUUGUGCAAGUUAAGUAAGUUGGACUUGAUUGAUCUGCCAAUGUUGACCCGUGUCUGGAUUGAGGUUCCUAAAGGUAUUUUGAACCUCAAAAACCUCAAACUGCUGAAAAUCCACAAUUGUGGCAGUUUAAUAAAUAUAUUUACUCCUAGCAUCUGCUUAGACCUCGUGCAAAUCCAAAAUUUAGAAGUGAAGUUGUGCUAUGGUUGAAGAAAUCAUCACAGAAGAUGUGGUGAAGGAUGAAACUAUGGAUGAGAUCAAAUAUCCUCUAUUGAACUCCAUUACUUGUGUCUUGCCAAGUUUAAUCAAUUUCAAUUCCGGAAAUGGUACUGUGCAUCUUUCAUCUUUGAAAGAGAUUAUUGUAAUUGACUGCCCAAGCACAUUUACUUGUUCAUUUUUGAGGGUAGCAGAACCAAAUGCAACAGAUGAAAUUGUUGAACCAAAGGUUGUUUUCCCCAACUUGGAGGAUCUGAAACUGUCAUCAGUUGACAUUGAGAAGAUGUGGGAUGCUCAGCAGUUGGAAAUGUCUUCUUGUAUUCAGAAUUUGACAAGCUUGACUGUGGAUGGCUGUGGCAAUUUAAAAUAUCUAUUAUCGUCAUCAAUGGUUAAAAAUGUUAUGCAUCUAAUUCUAAAAAGACUUGACAUUUGCAAUUGUAAGAUGAUGGAAGAA
This 1228-nucleotide unclassified non-coding RNA is filed under the name Hevea brasiliensis (rubber tree). The record is from RNAcentral. Lineage: Eukaryota; Viridiplantae; Streptophyta; Magnoliopsida; Malpighiales; Euphorbiaceae.